This 887-nucleotide long non-coding RNA is filed under the name Taeniopygia guttata (zebra finch). RNAcentral describes it as "lncRNA (ENSTGUG00000026656.1)". The record is from RNAcentral. Lineage: Eukaryota; Metazoa; Chordata; Aves; Passeriformes; Estrildidae.
UUUAUUUCUGGUAGUGCUAGAAUGUAAUUCUUUCUGUCACAGAACAGAUGAAGUGCACUGGUUUUGGAUAGUCAGUAUACACCAGAUGAAAGUACACUGUGUUCUGCCCCACCUGGAACACCCAACCCUGUUAUUGUGCUCUGCCUGCACAUCACCAGAGAUGUCAGCAAAGGUAUGAGCAAUUCACACCAAGUCUAGAUUUUUUUCUGGUAUGCCUACCUGUGAUUUCCAGCCUGUUACAUAAGGUUGCUUUUCCAAUACAGGGGAGCAAGUGAUGGUGGCUACGAGCUUCAUUUUUAUUUACAUUUUUGUGGACCUCAAGCAUGGAUCAGUAGCAGAGACUGGCAGAAUGUCAUCUGGACUCCAAAAGCCCCAGGACAAUGAGGGAGUUUCAUGGCAGCAACCUGCAGGAGCCAGCCGUGCAGCCGGGAACAGAGGUGACACCAGACAAGGGUACCUGCAGGAGAUUUUAGCCAGAGGCAGAGGUUCCAGGGCGAGGGCAGCAGCAGCCCCGUGCCCAGCCAUGCAGCCCCCGGGUUACAGCAAUGACAGCUUACCAAGGCAAGGACUGAAAACUUCUUGCCAUAUCUGCUGUUAAUUAAUAACUACUUACUUGGACCUGGAAAAGGCAAAAACUGAUCUGCCUCUCCUGGAAUACUGUACCUCCAGAUUAAUGAUAGGUUAUUGACCUGUUACUGCUCACAGCAGCUUUCUUCUUAAAAUAUGCUAAAGUAUUUAUUUUUACCUCUUAAAAAGGUAUAUGCACAUGAACAUUUAACAUUAUAUCACUGAUUUUGCACAUGACAACAAAUAAAAGAAAAAGGCUGAAUUUGUGUUCUUAUAACUUGCAGCUUUUACUGAGAAGCAUAGAUUUUUUUUUUAAUGGG